RNAcentral lists this ribosomal RNA (386 nucleotides) under marine Metazoa environmental sample. Its description in RNAcentral is "SSU rRNA". The stretch from base 167 to 386 matches the Rfam family "Eukaryotic small subunit ribosomal RNA", at positions 752 to 972 of the family's 1831-position model. Lineage: Eukaryota; Metazoa. The record is from RNAcentral.
AUCUCCCCUCUCUUCUCUUCCCUUUUCUUCCUUUCCCCCUCUCUUCUUUGGAUCUCUUUUUCCCUUUUCUCUCCUUUCUCUCUCCCUCUAAAACUGGUCUGACCCCCCAACGUGAGGUAUUCGUCUCCGGGUGCACUUCAUUGGGUGCUCGUGAGGGGCCUCGUAGUUACUGUGAAAAAAUUAGAGUGUUCAAAGCAGGCUCAUAUGUUCGGAUAGUCGUGCAUGGAAUAACUGAAUACGUGACUGGCGCUUUUCAGUUGGUCUCGGCGACUGGUCAAAUGAUUAAGAGGGACUGCCGGGGGCAUUGGUAUGACGGGGUUAGAGGUGAAAUUCUUGGAUCCUCGCCAGACCAACAAAAGCGAAAGCAUUUGCCAAGAAUGUCUUCA